GAUGAAGAACGCAGCGAAAUGCGAUACGUAAUGUGAAUUGCAAAUUCAGUGAAUCAUCGAGUCUUUGAACGCACAUUGCGCCCCCUGGUAUUCCGGGGGGCAUGCCUGUCCGAGCGUCAUUGCUGCCCUCAAGCACGGCUUGUGUGUUGGGCCCCGUCCUCCGAUCCCGGGGGACGGGCCCGAAAGGCAGCGGCGGCACCGCGUCCGGUCCUCGAGCGUAUGGGGCUUUGUCACCCGCUCUGUAGGCCCGGCCGGCGCUUGCCGAUCAACCCAAAUUUUUAUCCAGGUUGACCUCGGAACAGGUAGGGAUACCCGCUGAACUUAAGCAUAUCAAUAAGCGGAGGA
RNAcentral lists this unclassified non-coding RNA (345 nucleotides) under soil metagenome. RNAcentral's name for it is "partial contains 5.8S ribosomal RNA, internal transcribed spacer 2, and large subunit ribosomal RNA". The stretch from base 1 to 119 matches the Rfam family "5.8S ribosomal RNA", at positions 35 to 154 of the family's 154-position model. The record is from RNAcentral.